AGAACGAACGCUGGCGGCAGGCUUAACACAUGCAAGUCGAACGCGUGUAGCAAUACACGAGUGGCGCACGGGUGAGUAACGCGUGGAUAUCUGCCUUUUGGUUCGGAAUAACCCCGGGAAACUGGGGCUAAUACCGGAUGGUUCCUACGGGAUAAAGAUUUAUCGCCAAAAGAUGAGUCCGCGUACGAUUAGCUAGUUGGUGAGGUAAUGGCUCACCAAGGCGACGAUCGUUAGCUGGUCUGAGAGGACGAUCAGCCACACUGGGACUGAGACACGGCCCAGACUCCUACGGGAGGCAGCAGUGGGGAAUAUUGGACAAUGGGGGCAACCCUGAUCCAGCCAUGCCGCGUGAGUGAUGAAGGCCUUCGGGUUGUAAAGCUCUUUUGGCGGGGACGAUGAUGACGGUACCGCAGAUAAGCCCGGCUAACUUCGCGCCAGCAGCCGC
Molecule: ribosomal RNA, 445 nt
Filed under: uncultured bacterium
Lineage: Bacteria
Description: SSU rRNA
Rfam family: Bacterial small subunit ribosomal RNA
Source: RNAcentral